RNAcentral lists this ribosomal RNA (425 nucleotides) under uncultured bacterium. RNAcentral's name for it is "partial 16S ribosomal RNA". It matches the Rfam family "Bacterial small subunit ribosomal RNA", at positions 354 to 796 of the family's 1533-position model. The record is from RNAcentral.
GUGGGGAAUAUUGGACAAUGGGCGAAAGCCUGAUCCAGCAAUGCCGCGUGAGUGAUGAAGGCCUUAGGGUUGUAAAGCUCUUUUACCAGGGAUGAUAAUGACAGUACCUGGAGAAUAAGCUCCGGCUAACUCCGUGCCAGCAGCCGCGGUAAUACGGAGGGAGCUAGCGUUGUUCGGAAUUACUGGGCGUAAAGCGCACGUAGGCGGUUACUCAAGUCAGAGGUGAAAGCCCGGGUCUCAACCCCGGAACUGCCUUUGAAACUAGGUAACUGGAAUAUUGGAGAGGUCAGUGGAAUUCCGAGUGUAGAGGUGAAAUUCGUAGAUAUUCGGAAGAACACCAGUGGCGAAGGCGACUGACUGGACAAGUAUUGACGCUGAGGUGCGAAAGCGUGGGGAGCAAACAGGAUUAGAAACCCCAGUAGUCC